Molecule: long non-coding RNA, 1073 nt
Filed under: Chloebia gouldiae (Gouldian finch)
Lineage: Eukaryota; Metazoa; Chordata; Aves; Passeriformes; Passeridae
Description: Erythrura gouldiae (Gouldian finch) lncRNA (ENSEGOG00005009344.1)
Source: RNAcentral
AUGCCAGUCCCAGUCCUGGGAGCCAUUCCCAGUCCCAGUCCUGGGAGCCAUUCCCAGUCCUGGGAGCCAUUCCCAGUCCCGGGACCCAUUCCCAGUCCUGGGACCCAUUCCCAGUCCCAGGUGCCAUUCCCAGUCCCAGAUCCCAUUCCCAGUGCCGGGUGCCAGUCCUGGGAACCAUUCCCAGUCCCGGAUGCCAUUCCCAGUGCCGGGUGCCAGUCCCAGUCCCGGGAGCCAUUCCCAGUCCUGGGAGCCAUUCCCAGUCCCAGGUGCCAUUCCCAGUCCCAGGACCUAUUCCCAGUCCCGGAUGCCAUUCCCAGUCCCGGGAGCCAUUCCCAGUCCCAGGAGCCAUUCCCAGUCCCAGAUCCCAUUCCCAGUCCUGGGUGCCAGUCCUGGGAGCCAUUCCCAGUCCCGGGAGCCAUUCCCAGUGCCGGGUGCCAGUCCCAGCUCCGGGAUUCCCAGCCACAUCCAGAGGGAGCUGAUCCCCCAGGAGAGCCGAGGCUGUGGGUACGGGCAGCAGAGAGGCUCCGUGCGCUGCUCACACCCUCCCAGGCUGCGGGCAGAGGUGCAGCAGGGACGGAUUUAUCCCCGAAGGUCUGGAGAGGGGAAAACCCCCCUGGAGAGGGAAAACCUCCCUGGGGCAGCAGCAACGCUCUGAGGGCACCGAGCCGCUCCGGCCUGGGCACGGAGGGGUUUGGGGGGCGCUGCGCUGCUCCCCAGGGCGGCUCCUGGUGCCCACAGCUGAGCUGGGGCAGGGUGGGCACCUCUGCCCCUUCCCUCCAGGUGAGCCUGAGCAGCGCUGCGGGGUCAGGGCGGUGCCGUGGGGAGGGGCUCAGAGCCUGGCCAGAGGGGGAUGUGCCCUGAGAGCCCUCCGGGAUCCCCUCCUGCUCCCUGGGGGCUGUGGGGAUGGGGAAGGGGCUGCUCCAUCCAUCCAUCCAUCCAUCCAUCCAUCCAUCCAUCCAUCCAUCCAUCCAUCCUCCAUCCAUCAUCCAUCAUCCAUCAUCCAUCCAUCCAUCCAUCAUCCAUCCAUCAUCCAUCCAUCCAUCCAUCCAUCCAUCCAUCCAUCCAUCCAUCCA